RNAcentral lists this small RNA (89 nucleotides) under Salmonella enterica subsp. enterica serovar Infantis. RNAcentral describes it as "partial RtT sRNA". It matches the Rfam family "RtT RNA", at positions 1 to 88 of the family's 130-position model. From Rfam's summary of the family: This family represents a bacterial cis-regulatory element known as RtT RNA. RNAcentral also lists the same sequence under 1 other name. Lineage: Bacteria; Pseudomonadati; Pseudomonadota; Gammaproteobacteria; Enterobacterales; Enterobacteriaceae. The record is from RNAcentral.
AUAUCUCUCCGUACGGGAAGGAUGAGAAGCUUCGAUUAAGGUUCGAUUCGAGCGCAGCGAGAAAGCGUUGCCGCAGGCAACGACCCGAA